This 400-nucleotide unclassified non-coding RNA is filed under the name uncultured fungus. RNAcentral describes it as "sequence contains ITS1". The stretch from base 1 to 105 matches the Rfam family "5.8S ribosomal RNA", at positions 50 to 154 of the family's 154-position model. The record is from RNAcentral. Lineage: Eukaryota; Fungi.
GAAAUGCGAUAAGUAAUGUGAAUUGCAGAAUUCCGUGAAUCAUUAAAUCUUUGAACGCACAUUGCGCUCCCGGGUACUCCCGAGAGCAUGUCUGUUUGAGAAUCAGUUUAACCUCUCACAUUGUUUAAAUCUUUUAAAUAACGUGGACUUGGGACUAUUCUUUUUUGGUUACAAGAAAGAAAGACCUUUAAUCUAAAUUUGACCUUUAGACUUUGCUAAAUUUUAGCGUUUUAUACCUAGAAGGCAUGACCAAUGGCAAAGAGGGAAACCUCUUGACCUUUAGACUGCUGAUAAUAGGUUAGUUAAUUUUUGGGCAUAACUUGGAAGUGUUGCAACAUUUAUUUAUAUAACACGGAAAGCGUAAAAAACUUUUCAAGACUUUGAUCUCAAAUCAGACAAG